Rosa rugosa (rugosa rose) is the source of this 2321-nucleotide long non-coding RNA. RefSeq lists it as uncharacterized. The record is from RefSeq and is a predicted model, not a curated record. The transcript has 3 exons. NCBI's taxonomy places the organism in Eukaryota, Viridiplantae, Streptophyta, Magnoliopsida, Rosales, Rosaceae.
AAUGUCAAUUGUUUAAGGAGACAGGAAAAUUAGACGCAGUGCGUUCUUGGAUGUUAAAAAUACCACCGCUUGAUCCGAGUCGUUGCAUUAAAUUCAAAAUUAGGCUAUAAAUACAGGCAGAUCAGAUCGAACGAUCCAGAUGGGAUUAUAUCUCUCGACCUGGAUUACAAACCUAAAAGUAAAGACCCACAAAGUUCCAGACGGUGACCCGACUGGAGAUCCGCCAUUCGGCCACCUCAGGACGGCUUACCGGUGCAGAUCGGUUCGUCUCGCCAUCACUGACACUCCUCUAGUCGUGAUUUAGCCAUACAUGGAGCAAGGAGCGAGAAUCGAACGUUGAAAGUCUCAGGUUCUCUGGCGGUUUCUUUGCAAAUUCCGACGACUUGGGUGAUGUUUUGAAGUGCGUGAGUUUGCGCUGGUGGUUUCGAAUUUGCUUCGGUUGUUCUGGUUCGAUUCAGUGUGUUGGGGCGAUAUUGACGAUUGGUAUGCUAAAAAUGCUGAAUUGGUGAAUUGGUGGAGAAUGAAUGAGAGCAAAUGGAAGAUUUUCUCAGUCUGCCGUGCACUUCUUCAAAAGGCUAACUAGCCAAUUUGGAGCUUUGCUUAUGGUCAAGUUUGAUACUAAGGUUACGUGGUUUUCUUGGAGGUUCUGAGAAAUGUAUUAUGUGUAUAUGACAUGUUAUGCUACAUACAAUGAUACCACAAAUCUUGGACCUUAAUUAUUUGAGGCCAACAAUCAAUCGUGCAAUUUAGUUUUGAGGUAUUGGUUUUUGGUUUUAAAGGAAGUAACCCAAUCCCUACCCAGAAAUCAUUUUUAGAAAGUUGACAAAAAGGUGAAAUUUUUGGCUUCUCUGAAUACUCCUUGGUUUUGGUGGGAUGUCAUUUUGAGAAAAUGCUAUGAAAUGUGUAGCAUUCUACUACCGAGAAGACUUCUUUCUCUUCUUUGCUGUGCAUUGAAUUGGUUUUUUGUUUUUGAUUGUGAUUUAAACUUCUGUAAAUUGAAUACACUACGUGAAUGGAAAAGGAUCAUGUGUUGUGAUAAUUUUUCCUCUACUUUUCAAAGCUUCAAAAGGCAACGACUUUUGGAAAACACAUUUAUUUGCUUUCAAGUUCCGGAUGAGGAUGAACUCAUACAUUUUCUUUGGCACAUGGGCUUCAUAUUAUUUUCUUUUACAAGUAUGUUGUAUGCCAGUUCGAUUUUGUUUUAAUGAUGUGUGCUUAUUGGGUUGCUAAAUGAUUGUUAAAUGCUGGCUCUUUUGCUUGAGUACCAUAAGUCCAUAAUGAUAGAAUUGAUUUAAUCUUAGAUAUGAUUUUAUAUCAAUCUUAUGGACACAAUUACUGUAAUUGAGGGGUUGUAUGGGAAUACUCUCAUUUCUAUGGCUCUGAUGGUACAAUUUUCAUAAAAGUCAAAAGAAAAAAGAUCCUACUUUGUUGCAUUGAGUUCUUUAGGCUUCAGUUCUUCUGUACUCGAUUAUAUGAUUUACAUUAGUAAAGCUUGGGAUGGCAGUUUCAGGAGAUGAAAAAACAAUUUGGAAAUGAUAUUGUGUUAGUUUUGCUGAAUUGUUAAAGUAUGCUUAUAGUUAUCGAAUGUGCUUCUGUGUUUUUCUUUAAAUGUUUUGCUUCAGGUACAUGCCAAUGUUGCUGGAACAGACCAACCAAAAUGGUGGGAAAGAAGUGUUCCGAAGUGCUUUACGUCAAGCUGGAGAUAUAGAUAAGUUGUUAUAGAAUUCUACGGAAGGCACUGUCUCUGGAUUUUGAGCAAUAGAAGAACUCUAUGCAGUAGUGAUUCUGUUUGGAAGGCCUUGGUUUUUUAUGCCAAAAAUUGUAAAUGCUUCUUUAAUGUUGAUCAAGACAAGGAUUUGGCAAGGUCAUAGUAGACGUAAAGAAAGUGUUGGACCAAUUUGAUGAUUUGCUCAAUGCCGACAACAUAAUUUUCAAAAAUGCUAGAUGCAAGGUGCUUUUUAGUGAUAACUUUUUGAAGUUAUUCAAGAAACUGAUAUCGGCCUGAUUGGAGAAGUCAGCACUCAGCAGUAAAUCUUCUACUAAAGCUUUCAUGUGGCUAGGGACCCAAGAAGCGCAGUGUAGAGAGAAGUUGUAGUAGCUCUUCACUAAUCUUGAAGAAAUUUAAGGUUAAAUCUCAUUGUUUGCACAACAAGCUAUUGCAAAAAAGAUAUGAGAUACAUUCAAAUGUUAAAGGUCUGAGACAUAUUGCCUCUGGAGGAUAUCCCAAAGUUGGAAUAUAAUAUCUCCCGGAGACUGUUUUAAACAGAUAUGCAGAUUAUAUAUAUAUAUAUAUAGAUGAAAUACAUAAAGCUACUGCUUAA